This 218-nucleotide ribosomal RNA is filed under the name uncultured bacterium. RNAcentral describes it as "partial 16S ribosomal RNA". It matches the Rfam family "Bacterial small subunit ribosomal RNA", at positions 113 to 334 of the family's 1533-position model. The record is from RNAcentral.
UAGUAUGAGGAUCUGCCCGAUAGAGGGGGAUAACUAUUGGAAACGGUGGCUAAUACCGCAUAAUGUCUACGGACCAAAGCAGGGGCUCUUCGGACCUUGCACUAUCGGAUGAACCCAUAUGGGAUUAGCUAGUAGGUGGGGUAAAGGCUCACCUAGGCGACGAUCUCUAGCUGGUCUGAGAGGAUGAUCAGCCACACUGGGACUGAGACACGGCCCAG